GCAGGGGUGGUUCAGUGGUAGAAUUCUCGCCUUCCAUGUGGGUGACUGGGGUUCAAUACCCGGCCAACGCA
Molecule: transfer RNA, 71 nt
Filed under: Loxodonta africana (African savanna elephant)
Lineage: Eukaryota; Metazoa; Chordata; Mammalia; Proboscidea; Elephantidae
Rfam family: tRNA
About the family: Transfer RNA (tRNA) molecules are approximately 80 nucleotides in length. Their secondary structure includes four short double-helical elements and three loops (D, anti-codon, and T loops).
Source: Rfam by way of RNAcentral